This is a long non-coding RNA of Tyto alba (common barn owl), 2739 nucleotides long. RefSeq lists it as uncharacterized. The transcript is spliced from 2 exons. The record is from RefSeq and is a predicted model, not a curated record. NCBI's taxonomy places the organism in Eukaryota, Metazoa, Chordata, Aves, Strigiformes, Tytonidae.
CUGGUGAGGAAUCAGUAGAGUAGAAAGCGGCAACAAGGGACUUCCCAUGCAAAGUACGUCUGAAUAACUGCUUGUCCAAACAGGGGAAUUGAAACAAACUGAAAGAGUGGAAUGAGGAAGAUACUGAAACAACAGCAAGGAUUGAAAUGAAAGCUGAAAAAGGAAGAAAAAGCAGCAUCAGAAAGAGUUUAACAGAAAAUGUCUGACAGAAAAAAAGGCAGAACCAGAAAGCAAGUCAGAAAUUAAGAUAUUUAAAUGAAUUGAUGAAUGACGAAAAUUGAAUUUGAAGACGAGGCCUACCUCUAAUACUCCCAGUGCAGCAGCUCUGUGCAGCAGUGAAGCAGCACAAAGCAGCUGCCUGAACCCAAACAUCACUUCUCCACAGUUGCCUCCCCUGGCUGAGAACAGCCUCACACUUACCUUCAUCCACCAACCAGAAGGAAGAGAAGAAUAAAAUCAAGCGUGCCACAAGAAAGGUCAGAAUACGACACAACCUAACAAGCUCCAGAAAGCAGCCCGCAUCAGUCAGAGCUGCAGGCCUGAGCAGAUGAAAAACAAGAAAAAACAAGCAGCUCUUUUGUGGCUGAGGUGAAAACGGACACAGGACACAGCCAGCUUCAGGGAACAAACCUGGCGGGCAGCAUUCCAGCACCAGCGACUGUCCUGCCGCAGCUUCAGACUCUUGACAUGGAGGAAAUCAUGGUGGAAACGGUCCUGGCGCCGUGGGAAAUACUGCUGGUCAUUUUUGCCACAGUGCUGAUAAUGAGUUUUCUCAUGUUUCUGCCCCCUGCUGCAGUGGUGACCUGGAGAAUGAAGCGUGUGCCGCAGAUCUCACUGCAUGGCUCGGUGUGAGCGAGCCCUGGUACAAGCUCUAACACCACCGAUCCCUUCAAAGGGUGGUUCAGAAUGAUAACAUCUCUCAAGACCACUCAUACUACCUCAGAUCUAUCCAACAGUGAUGGGUUUCACAGUCUAUUGCUGCUAAGUUCCUGUGAAAAGAGAAUGUGUACAAUUUUGUCUUCACACACUACAGUUCUCAGCACUUUGCCUUCCAUUUUUUUUGGCUAUGUUAUAAUUACCAUUGUUGGUUAGUUCCUAGACUGACUUCUUCUAUUGCAUUAUAAUGGACUGAAAACAAGACUGAAAGAGAAGCAAGCAUAAUACAGCAUUGUAUUCCCUUAAGUAAUAUCAGGAAAGGCUCUCUUUCUACUGUUACACUGUAAGUAUUACCAAAGCCUUUAGCUGAGAUGACUGACAGUUAUGCAGGUGGACAUAUCAAAAGCAUGCAGUAUACUCUGGGGUGGUAGUGGUUUAGUCUGGUUGGACUAUGAACCCUACAAAAUAACAACAGAGAAUCGUGUAAUAAAUACACCUCUUGUGCUUCUUUUGUCUCAUCUGAAAACUUACUGGCCUGAAAUGUUAUUUCGUUUCCUUCCUCCUAUGUGAAUUUUCCUCUCUCUGCAAAUCCUGAGUGCCAGAACACAAAGCCCUCCCCAGCCCAGGCUUAGAGCAGGAACAUGAGGGGUAGCCCGAUGCUCAGACAUGCCCAGCCAGACGCUGACUUGAAGUUAAUGCAAACAUACAGCAACUAUUUGUCUGGAUUACAUUAUGCAAAUUUACUCUGGGAAAUAAUACGAUUCUUUUCUUUAGUUUUUAAUUGUCAUAUAGGCUUAUUGGUUCAACUUCACUUUCUCUUAUAUAAAUGGUAACUUGGAUGGCAGGAAUAGAACAAAACUGAUUCUCUGCAAGUUUAUGGAAAAAACUCCAACAACCCAGACUCCAUCUUAAUAUCGAAUUCAUGCCACAUCAAAUUAAAGUUUUCCAGAUUAACUCUUCAACAUUGUGGGACACUUACUAGCAGGAUUUCUGAUGCACAGAUUUAACAGUUUCUGUUAACUUACAAUAGGAGUGGGUUUGAUUUCCUCAUGAAAUCCAAUACUGGGUUUCUUUUCUUUUGUUGAUUGGUUUGGAAAGCUCACUAGAAUAGAUUAAUAUAACUCAGAGGAAAAUAUUUUUUACACCAGUAGGAAAAUGAUACUGGGAAGUGCUCAGUGCUUCAGAUAUUUUAUUUGACCACGAGCUGAUAAUGAAUUGGCUGGAAAUGAAAGACUGAAAGACAUUAUAAUUUCAUUUGAUAGCAAUUAUUUGUUUGCCAGAAAUAAACAAACCCACCAGAGAUUGAAAAACCAUUGCUUUUCUUUAAGACUACAGCACUUUUGUCUCCACCACAAUGACUUCAGUUACUGCCUCAUACUUUAUAAGCAGUCAAAGCAGCCAACUCAUCCCUUUGUUGGUGUAAUUGUCUGCUACACUCAUAGUCAUAUGACUGUCUGGUUCUGGGCCCAAAAGCAACCGAUGGUUUUUUACUUGUAAUGACUGGAUUCUGAGCCUGAAAAAGUGUGUAAUUUUAUAUAUCUGAAUCAUUAAACUGAUUAAUGAGGUAAAGGUCAGUUAUGUAUUACCUACCACAUAACUAUGCUAUCUGUGCCAAAGAGAUUUACAGGAAUAGGGAAAAGGUAAAGAAGAGAGAGGAAACACAAACAGAUGAGCUGGCUGUCUUCAGAUCUAUGGCUUCAGUGUUUGCUCAACAUAAAAAAAUUAAAACAAAACCCCAAUCACGGAUUCCACUGAAAACCAAGCAAGCAGUAACUAAGCUUUUUGUUUAGAUUUCGUAAUAUUUCACAUGCAUGUCUGUUCUGUAGCUACAGCUCCACAAAUAAAUUGGAUCAUCAGUGCUAA